UAUAUACUAGAAUCCUCUCUGUGUUCUGUUACCAUAGAGACGUGUAUAUACUAGAAUCCUCUCUGUGUUGCUCUGUUACCAUAGAGACGUGUAUAUACUAGAAUCCUAACACACAGAGAGAGGCGGGACUCUCUCUCCUGCCUGGCGUGACCCGUUACCAUGGUGAGGACUAGGAGAGGGGCUCAUUGGCUUAGUGAGGAGGGGGCUCCGCAGCGGUUUUUGGCAUGUUGUGUUAUUUCUUUAUAACACAAUAAUCUACAAAGCAGGUGGCUCUUUUACACUUGGGGUUUAAUAGGAAAGAACGUUUUCUUUCCCCCAAGUCGAGGUUAAUCCCUUAUUUUAUUUAUGAAUAUUGACUCAGAGUAUAUGUUAGGAUACAACAGAUUUGGCAUCCUUAUUUAUCCUGCUCCUUUGCACCCCAGUAUCUCUACUUGCACAUUCAUCUUCUGCACAUCCUACCAUUCCAGUGUUUAAUUGCUAUAUUGUAAUUACUUCGCCACUAUGGCCUAUUUAUUGCCUUAACUUACCUCAUUUCCACUCACUGUAUAUAGACUUUUUAUUUUCUUUGGUUCUACUGUAUUAUUGACUGUAUGUUUGUUUUACUCCAUGUGUAACUCUGUGUUGUUGUAUGUUGUCGAACUGCUUUGCUUUAUCUUGGCCAGGUCGCAGUUGUAAAUGAGAACUUGUUCUCAACUAGCCUACCUGGUUAAAUAAAGGACUUGUUCUCAACUAGCCUACCUGGUUAAAUAAAGGACUUGUUCUCAACUAGCCUACCUGGUUAAAUAAAGGACUUGUUCUCAACUAGCCUACCUGGUUAAAUAAAGGACUUGUUCUCAACUAGCCUACCUGGUUAAAUAAAGGACUUGUUCUCAACUAGCCUACCUGGUUAAAUAAAGGACUUGUUCUCAACUAGCCUAACCUGGUUAAAUAAAGGUGAAAUGAAAAUAAUCAGGUGACUGUCCUCUCUGUGUCCCCCAUCAGGUGACUGUCCUCUCUGUGUCCCCAUCAGGUGACUGUCCUCUCUGUGUCCCCAUCAGGUGACUGUCCUCUCUGUGUCCCCCAUCAGGUGACUGUCCUCUCUGUGUCCCCAUCAGGUGACUGUCCUCUCUGUGUUCCCAUCAGGUGACUGUCCUCUCUGUGUCCCCAUCAGGUGAUUGUCCUCUCUGUGUCCCCAUCAGGUGACUGUCCUCUCUGUGUCCCCCAUCAGGUGACUGUCCUCUCUGUGUCCCCAUCAGGUGACUGUCCUCUGAGUUCACCCCCCUCUUCCAGGAUGAACGGCUACCCCCCUCCCUCCUUCCCCCAGGGAGGGUUCGACUCAUACGCCUCGCAACUCAAUGGUCAUGGUUCCCAGUCCACAGAGCCUCCAGAUUGCAACGCCAGGUCCAACACCAAGUCCAUCUCUAAAACCCUUUACGGUACAGAAGCUACCUGUCAUGUUCUCUCUCUCUCCAUCCAUCCCCCUCUCUCUCUCUCUCUCUCUCUCUCUCUGUCUCUCCAUCCAUCCCCCCCUCUCUCUCUCUCUCUCUCUCUCUCUCUCUCC
This 1540-nucleotide long non-coding RNA is filed under the name Salmo salar (Atlantic salmon). RNAcentral's name for it is "lncRNA (ENSSSAG00000097771.1)". Lineage: Eukaryota; Metazoa; Chordata; Actinopteri; Salmoniformes; Salmonidae. The record is from RNAcentral.